CCUACGGGUGGCAGCAGUGGGGAAUAUUGGACAAUGGGGGCAACCCUGAUCCAGCCAUGCCGCGUGUGUGAAGAAGGCCCUCGGGUUGUAAAGCACUUUCAGUGAGGAAGAACGCCUGGUGGUUAAUACCCAUCAGGAAAGACAUCACUCACAGAAGAAGCACCGGCUAACUCCGUGCCAGCAGCCGCGGUAAUACGGAGGGUGCGAGCGUUAAUCGGAAUUACUGGGCGUAAAGCGCGCGCAGGUGGCUUGAUAAGCCGGUUGUGAAAGCCCCGGGCUCAACCUGGGAACGGCAUCCGGAACUGUCAAGCUAGAGUGCAGGAGAGGAAGGUAGAACUCCCGGUGUAGCGGUGAAAUGCGUAGAGAUCGGGAGGAAUACCAGUGGCGAAGGCGGCCUUCUGGACUGACACUGACACUGAGGUGCGAAAGCGUGGGUAGCAAACAGGAUUAGAUACCCCAGUAGUC
RNAcentral lists this ribosomal RNA (465 nucleotides) under Vreelandella stevensii. Its description in RNAcentral is "partial 16S ribosomal RNA". It matches the Rfam family "Bacterial small subunit ribosomal RNA", at positions 338 to 795 of the family's 1533-position model. The record is from RNAcentral. Lineage: Bacteria; Pseudomonadati; Pseudomonadota; Gammaproteobacteria; Oceanospirillales; Halomonadaceae.